GGUUCCAGCCAACCUGCUGCUGAGCGCUCUGCUCUCUGCAGAGCGGCUGGCUGCUCCCCUUCCUUCCUGCUCGCUCUUUUUCCCUGCUGCUGCGGUGCUCCACCUGGGCCUCCGAGAAGCCGAGCUGGCCCCGUGUCUCCAUAUGCAUUUGCUCACGCGGCACAUGCUUUCCACUCUGGAGGCUUCGAACAAUUAGAAGAAACUCUCCUCUGCAACGCGGGGAAGUUUUAACAACAUUCCGGCCUUUCCUUUCACGGAACUUGAUCCAAACAAACAUUGCUCUCCUUGAAGAGUUUCCAGCCAAGACAGUUCCAGCCCUCUCACUAUGCUCUUAUUAAAUUUCAUGCUAUUGUACGGGA
This is a long non-coding RNA of Rattus norvegicus (Norway rat), 359 nucleotides long. RefSeq lists it as uncharacterized. NCBI's taxonomy places the organism in Eukaryota, Metazoa, Chordata, Mammalia, Rodentia, Muridae. The record is from RefSeq and is a predicted model, not a curated record.